CUACGUGCCAGCAGCCGCGGUAAUACGGAAGGUCCUGGUGUUAUCCGGAUUUAUUGGGUUUAAAGGGAGCGUAGGCCGCAGAUUAAGUGUGUUGUGAAAUUCAGGCGCCCAACGUCUGGCUUGCAGCGCAAACUGGUUUCCUUGAGUACGCACAACGUUGGCGGAAUUCGUCGUGUAGCGGUGAAAUGCUUAGAUAUGACGAAGAACUCCGAUUGCGAAGGCAGCUGACGGGAGCGCAACUGACGCUGAAGCUCGAAGGUGCGGGUAUCGAACAGGAUUAGAUACCCUGGUAGUCCGCACAGUAAACGAUGGAUGCCCGCUGUUGGUACUUGGUAUCAGCGGCUAAGCGAAAGCAUUAAGCAUCCCACCUGGGGAGUACGCCGGCAACGGUGAAACUCAAAGGAAUUGACGGGGGCCCGCACAAGCGGAGGAACAUGUGGUUUAAUUCGAUGAUACGCGAGGAACCUUACCCGGGCUUGAAUUGCAGAGGAAGGAUUUAGAGAUA
RNAcentral lists this ribosomal RNA (505 nucleotides) under uncultured bacterium. Its description in RNAcentral is "bacterial SSU rRNA". It matches the Rfam family "Bacterial small subunit ribosomal RNA", at positions 501 to 1008 of the family's 1533-position model. The record is from RNAcentral.